GACGAACGCUGGCGGCGUGCUUAACACAUGCAAGUCGAACGGAAAGGCCCUGCUUUUGUGGGGUGCUCGAGUGGCGAACGGGUGAGUAACACGUGAGUAACCUGCCCUUGACUUUGGGAUAACUUCAGGAAACUGGGGCUAAUACCGGAUAGGAGCUCCUGCUGCAUGGUGGGGGUUGGAAAGUUUCGGCGGUUGGGGAUGGACUCGCGGCUUAUCAGCUUGUUGGUGGGGUAGUGGCUUACCAAGGCUUUGACGGGUAGCCGGCCUGAGAGGGUGACCGGCCACAUUGGGACUGCGGGAGACAGCAGACUGCAGUGGGAGGCAGCAGUGGGGAACAGUGCACACUGGGCGGAAGGCUGAUGCAGCAACGCCGCAUGCGGGAUGACCGCCUGCGGGAGGGAAACCGCUUGCGCCUGUGACGAAGCCUGAUUGGCGGUAGGGGGGAUAAAAACACCGGCUAACUACGUG
This 468-nucleotide ribosomal RNA is filed under the name uncultured bacterium. Its description in RNAcentral is "partial 16S ribosomal RNA". It matches the Rfam family "Bacterial small subunit ribosomal RNA", at positions 28 to 507 of the family's 1533-position model. The record is from RNAcentral.